This is a long non-coding RNA of Gallus gallus (chicken), 1039 nucleotides long. NCBI's taxonomy places the organism in Eukaryota, Metazoa, Chordata, Aves, Galliformes, Phasianidae. The record is from Ensembl.
GGAAAACUAAUAACCAAAUUAUUAUCCCCUUGAGGUUUGUGCGGUAUUAUUUUACUGUGUGCAAUCCUGUUUUGUUUAUUAGGCUACAUAUACACCAGGGCAGCAUUUCUUGAGCUUUCUGGCACUUUGAAAGCAAGUGACGGUCUUGCAUGAUGGCAGCGUGAGAAGCAAUUAUGUGAACUCUGAAUACCAGUUGGGCAAGCUUCCCACAUUAUAAAACACGUUUCAGUUCAGAACCAGGGGGAAGAGCUGCAUCCUGCCAUCUUAACUCUGCCUUCAAAUAAGGUUACUUGCACUGUGCUCCAGGAAAACCCAUUCUGCUUAUCAUCUGCAGGAAUCCCUGGCUGAAGUUCUCUGACCUCUGUGACACAAAGGUGAGACCGGAUGAUCAAUCUUCCUUAAUCCUCAAAAGCUAUAAAUAGGAAGGGAAUGAGCAAUUCACUGUGAUCUGAGCUGUUCUGUUAUCUAUGCACAAGCCCCAGUAUACAUGGCUCUGCACUUCCUAAAGUGCCUCAUAAAAUCCUGCAUUUAUUAUAUGUGUCUGUAUUGGGUGUAACUGAACCAGCAUGAAGAGUGGUUUAACAACAUGUACAAACAAGACCAAGCUAUGCAAAUCACAGUUCCUGCAACCUCUUUUGAGCUGUACUGAGAACAGGGAGGAGCAAUAUACAAUAAAGGGUGAAAAGUCACAUCAUUUUUUUCCUACUCUCACUUGUACUUUUCAUUAAAUAAUUCAUAUUGUGGAUUAGUUCUGGCUGGUGGAUACAUUUUGGUGUAUCAUAAGCCUGAGAGGAUGUCUGACCUCUAUUCAGAUAAUGAAACAGGCAUAACAAACAUGUCUAUUGACCAGAUAUCUGCACUGCAUUCAUUAAUUUCAGAAAUCCAGCCCCAUAAAGGUCAAAUGAAUGUCUGAAGACAGGAGGAAGGUGGAGGCACUGAGGAUGUCAAGAUGUGCAAGAGCUGUCAAGCACAGGAGGUGUGGACAGCCUGUUUUGGCUCUCUUGCCAAUCUAUUACUCCAUACAUCAGUGACAGCAAUG